RNAcentral lists this transfer RNA (73 nucleotides) under Haslea pseudostrearia. Its description in RNAcentral is "tRNA-Arg". It matches the Rfam family "tRNA". From Rfam's summary of the family: Transfer RNA (tRNA) molecules are approximately 80 nucleotides in length. The record is from RNAcentral. RNAcentral also lists the same sequence under 2 other names. Lineage: Eukaryota; Bacillariophyta; Bacillariophyceae; Naviculales; Naviculaceae.
AAGCAUGUAGCUCAGUGGAUAGAGCAUCAGAUUCCGAUUCUGAAAGUCAAGGGUUCGACUCCCUUCAUGCUUA